Equus asinus (donkey) is the source of this 4586-nucleotide long non-coding RNA. Lineage: Eukaryota; Metazoa; Chordata; Mammalia; Perissodactyla; Equidae. The record is from Ensembl.
CUCCAGCCGGCGGGUGCCCGCGGCGCCAGCUUUUCCGGCUUCCAGUUGCCAGGGGGCGCUGCGACACAAUAGCCCGUGCCCGGAGGGGCGGCGGCCGCGUGAGCAGGGAGCCGCGCGCCGGGUAGUGGGGACCACCGGGUGGAGCCCGGGACAGCUGUGAGUCCGCUCGAGCGGCUUUCCUUCCUCCACCGCCUCCUCCUCUCGCUCUCCGCGGGCCUCACGGUGGGGCUGCCGCGGCGACGGCGACUGAAGUCCAGGCGCCGUUAUCUGUAGCCUCCUGGCGACCGUGACAAGCAGGCGCGUGAGUUUCCUGGGCACCAGGAGCCUUGGGAGGAGACACUUCACUCCUUUCCCGCAACCCAGAGAAGCAGGGACUUGGUCUCAGCCUUUCUCGCAGCUCUGAGAGGUGCUGUUACGUCCAGUUGCACCUCCCCACCGCCCUUGGAGAGGUGUGUUUUCCCCUGGAGUAGCCCAAGGGAGCGGGCCUAGCAGGUGGAGUUUCUGUCUUUGUAUCUUUUGGCUGUUCUGGCGGGACAUCAUUGCCCAAUAAGCGCUGACCGAGUUGCCAAAAGAAAAAGAAAAGGCAGCAUUUUCAAGGAUAUACCGUAAUAGGACAAUUCACCUGGUUAUGAAUAGGGCUUGAGAAUUGCAAGAAGCGAACUUGUUGCCUGACUAGUUUAUUGCUUAGAGUAGAGGCUUUAGGCCUACUUACGCUUGAAUCUGGCAGAGAGGCCACAGCUUAUCCAGAUUACACACUGGGAUCGCCCAACCCAAACACAUUGUACACCUGGAGACAUCUUCCAGUUUGACAGAGAGCUGCUGACUUGAAUGUUUCUGUCGGCACGGCCCCAAGCCCCAACCGACAAAAAUGCUUCCGAAACUUCAUUCACCGGAAUUCUUCUUAUCAGGAACUUACAGGCUGUUUUCCGAAGUGGCUGCACCAUUUAAAAUUCCCAUCUGUAAGUGUAUGAAGGUUCCAAUUUCUCCACAUCCUCACCAACACUUAUUUUGUCUCUUUUUACUUGGUAUCUCAUUGUGACGUUAAUUUGCCUAGACUGAGUGGUAUUUGGUUAGCUAGUUUUAUUUCACUUUAAUGAAUACCUUUUUAAAUUUUAAAUUUUAAAUAUUUUAAUUUGGGGCUGAAAUGAAUAAUACAUGGCCCCUCUCUGCAAGGAGCUCAUGGCUCCUUCAGAGAGACAGACAAAUAGCUAACGACAGUACAGUGUGUCAAGUGCUCUGAUGGAGUUGAGCAUGGGAUGCUAUGAGGAGCAGAGUAGAGGGACGCCUAAUCUAGGGUGGGAGGAGGAUGGAGGAAAGUAUUAAAUAAGCCUUUUCCAGAAGGGGCUUUAGUGUGCCUCUGGUUUUCUUUCAUGUACUUUCCUCAAAACUAUACAUGCACGUAGUAUUACGGAUAGUUCUAUGUGGCUUUCUAUUCUAAAAAAAAGGAGUCCCCGGCUUUCCUUGCCAUCCCUGCUCCCCCAAAAGCAGUCACUUUCUAUUCUUUUCUCUCUUUGGAUAUUUCCCUCUAUGUCUUUAAAUAGCAUAGCGUGUUUUUAUUUGAGAAAGAAGAAUAAUCAGCCCUGAUACAGGCCCCUCAUCAUCCUCACUUGCACUGAUUUCUAAAUUGGUCAGCCCCAUUAGAUAUUAACACGUGAUUAGUUAUGAAAGCCACGGUCACAAUGCAAGCUACCUUCUUGCAAUUUAAAUGAAAGAAGACAGGCAUUACCAACUGUUAGGUACUGGAGUAACUGAAGUAAGACAAGAUCAACAUUUUAAAGGAGUAGCUAAGGAGUUUUUUUCCUCAUUGGUACUUUAGUACCAUGUAACUGCAAUAAGCCAGAACCCAUUGCACCUGUCAAUUAAGAGGAACGUUAUUUUCACUCAAGCUUUUGAAGAAAAAGCCAAAUCAGAGACAAGCAGCAUGAUACAGGACAGAGGUCGGCAAAUUCUGACCCGUGAGUUAAGAAUGUUUUUUCAGAUGAACAUUUUCAAUCAGUUUGAUGAUAGGGAACACUAACUUUCAACCCCAAUUAAAGAAAAUGUUAUUCUUCUAUUCUGUUUUCUCAUUAGUAGACCUGUAUUACAAAACCUUGUAGUCAAUUAUUAUAUUUUGGAUUUCAUCUAUAAAAAAUUAUGGAAAUUUAUUUUCUCUUGUUAUAUAAGUACCUACAUAAUAUCCCUGAUUUGCGUCUUGGCCCAUAAAGCCUAAAAUAUUUACUAUCUGACCUUCACAGAAAAAGUUUUCCUACUCUUGGUUUAGUAGAAUAAACAGAGGUAUGGAAAGCAAUUGCCACAUACUUGCUGUGUAUCCUUGGGAAAUUACUUCACUUCUCUGGUCUUGAUUUUCAUUAUCUAUAAAAUGGAGAUUGAGGGUGAUAUGUGGAUGAGAUAAACUCUAUGGUGAACCCCCCACAUCCUCUUAAGUUUUUGAUUAAUUAGUUAAUUAUACAAAUAUUUACUGAGCUACUACUAUGUACCAAGAGCUGUUCAAGGCUUGGGGAUACAGCAGCAAACAAAAUUCCUGUCCUGAGAAAGAUACUAUUCUAAAUGAAAAGAGAUUAAAGAUGCAAUGAGUGGUCUGAGAUUGAAUCCUGACUUGAACAAACUAGCUUUAUACGACAUUUUGGGGGAAACUAGGGAAAUUUGAAUAUGGAUGGGUGUUAGAUGAGAUGGAAACAUUAACAUGCAAUGGCGGAGGUCAUUAACUGAAAACAGCGGUUACAAAGCAUUAUGUACAUAUAUUAUCUCAUUUUGGUAGAAAAUGUAUCUAUGUGUCAUAUAUACCGAGGAAAAGAUCUAGAAGGAUAUAUACUAAGCUGUUAACAGUGGUAAUUUCUGGGCAGUGGGAAAAUAAUGUUUUUAUUUACUUAUUUUUGUUUUCUAAUUUUUUACAAUGAACAUAUACUGCUUUUGUAAAAAUAAAAGGUUCUAAUUUAAAAAAAUAAUCUCUCUUUUCAUGGAGCUUACAUGCUACUGCCUCUUGUAAAUAUUAAUAUUGACAAUCUGUCACUUUUUCUGGGGGACACAUGGAAGAAUGUAGAGUGCCCCGCCUCCUGCAGGUAACAAAGGAUCAGGGCGUUCUCUGUGAAAUAACUGCAGAAUAUGAACUGAUGCUGCUGGCAUUUCCCUUGGAGUUUUACUGGUGAGUAGAGCUUUCUUAUCCCCAAGGCUUUAGAAUGGGGUGGACUUUUGUAGAGUGGUCAGUAUUAAAAGGGAGGGACUAGAGAGGCAAACGUUGGAGUGUCCAUCUAAGCACUGUUCAGGAGAGAAUAUACCCAAUCUGAUACGGAGGUAGAUUUAUCUCUGUAGCAUUGAUGGAUACAUCAGGCUGUGAAAGCCUGAUGCGAUUAAGCAUCUGAAGCAUGUAACUACUUUUGUUCUUCUAGGCCAGGAGUCUGCAAAGUAUGGCCUAGGAAUGAAAUCUGGCCUGCCAUCUAUUUUAAAGUCUUAUUGUAAAUAAAGUCUUACUGGAACACAGCCACACUCAUUUCUUUAUGUAUUGUCUAUCACUGCUUUUGCCCAACAGCGGCAGAGUUGAGUAGUUGUGACAGAGGCCAUAUAUUACCCACAAACCCCAAAAUACUUACUAUUUGGCCCUCUAAAUAAAAAGUUUGUGGAUCCUUGUUCUAGGCCCACCACAAAACUGUCUCAGGAGGCACACCUGUGGGGAGGGAAUGCCCACUCUACAGUUAAAUGAACAUUCUGAUUUAUAAACUGCAUUCUCUCCUGAGCUUUAUUAGCAGCUGUCAGUAUUCCGAAUUCCGGAUGACUCGGUUACUUACAAGAUUGGAUUUCUUAUCCUGCAAAGCUGAGGUGAAGGCCAGACCCUAGAAAAACAGAAAAUUCAUCAAGGCUCAGUUCAAGAACCACCCCCUCCAAGUUGUCUUCCUGGAUUUAUUCAGCCCAAAGUUAUCCUUGUCUUUCCUGGGACAUGUCAGCAUUCUGGACAGAAGAAACCAACAAGCAAUGGAGAGGCCACAUCAAGCAGCUAGAAUCUCUGCAGCCCAGUGUUCUGUUUGAUGGGCUUCUAGGGGCUGUUCAAAGGGAGAUACCAGCAGCCUGGAAAUUCCAAAUGGAAGGCAAUGAUCAUGGGCAGUUGAUGCCUUCUCCAGGGUGGUGACAGUGGUGUUUUUGCCAGAGCAGCACCAACGGAUCCCUCAAGACUUUGUUAUGGAUUUUGUCUCUGGGAACACAGACUCUGCUUUUCAAGAUGAUUCUCUCUCUACCAUUGUAUUGGUUCCUCCUCCUGGGCUCAGCAGCCUGGAAAUAGAAACAGCAGUGGUGGCUGAUUGUCUUGAUCCAGACGGAAGUUGUGUGGCAGAUUGCAUCAUUCACUGCUUUGCCUUCUUGGAUGACUCAGAACAUAAUAUAACCUUGUUUUGUGACUCAGAGAGGCCAUUAUGACCAUCUGCUUUUGCCUUGGACCUCUGAGGCAUGUAGGAAUAUGUCUUUCUCUAUUAAAUGGAUUUCUUUGCUUUUGAAAUUCUAUCUCCUUCAACUUCCAGCUUUACUCUUUUUGGUGUCAGAGGCUGAGAUCAGUGUAUUCUAGGUUCUUCUAAUGUGCAGUUGUUUGACCAAAGAUUGAC